AGGACGAACGCUGGCGGCGUGCUUAACACAUGCAAGUCGAGCGGAAAGGCCCUUCGGGGUACUCGAGCGGCGAACGGGUGAGUAACACGUGAGUAAUCUGCCUUCAGCUCUGGGAUAGCUCCGGGAAACCGGGAUUAAUACCGGAUAUGACCACUUCGGACAUCUGUUGUGGUGGAAAGUUUUUCGGCUGGAGAUGAGCUCGCGGCCUAUCAGCUUGUUGGUGGGGUAAAGGCCUACCAAGGCGACGACGGGUAGCCGGCCUGAGAGGGCGACCGGCCACACUGGGACUGAGACACGGCCCAGACUCCUACGGGAGGCAGCAGUGGGGAAUAUUGCGCAAUGGGCGGAAGCCUGACGCAGCGACGCCGCGUGGGGAUGGAAGGCCUUCGGGUUGUAAACCCCUUUCAGCAGGACGAAGCGCAAGUGACGGUACCUGCAGAAGAAGCGCCGGCUAACUACGCGCCAGCAGCCGC
Molecule: ribosomal RNA, 473 nt
Filed under: uncultured bacterium
Lineage: Bacteria
Description: SSU rRNA
Rfam family: Bacterial small subunit ribosomal RNA
Source: RNAcentral